Molecule: transfer RNA, 87 nt
Filed under: Betaproteobacteria bacterium
Lineage: Bacteria; Pseudomonadati; Pseudomonadota; Betaproteobacteria
Also listed under: 4 other names
Description: tRNA-Leu
Rfam family: tRNA
About the family: Transfer RNA (tRNA) molecules are approximately 80 nucleotides in length. Their secondary structure includes four short double-helical elements and three loops (D, anti-codon, and T loops).
Source: RNAcentral
GCCCAGGUGGCGGAAUUGGUAGACGCACAUGGUUCAGGUCCAUGCGCCAGUAAUGGUGUGAAGGUUCGAGUCCUUUCCUGGGCACCA